UAAAACGCAGAAAAAGAAUGAAGUCAUCGUAAUCGCCUGGUGCUCAUCUCCUUGAACUCGCACAAGCCGAGAAGUCCGCUACUGCGUUAGCACCACCGCAUUGAUUUGGUACAGGUAGACGACACGAAUAACCCUUCAACGCUCCCAAAUGUGCUUUGUUGUUUUAGAUUGGUCAAGAUGCUAAUUCAAGGUUCUUGUUCUUAAAUUCGAUGAUUUUGUGUACAAAAGGCUCUAUGCUUCGAGGCAUUUGUUCCUUCUUUAUGAAUGGUCAAUUUAACUGUUAUCAUUUUUAUUGACUACAACCUUUACAUAUAACAUGCUUGUCGCUUCUGUCUUCCUCCCGAUUGUUGCCUUGUAACAGGUAUGCCUUUUUUGGUCUAUUUGAGUGUUUUAUAUGUUUGACUGCUUUAAUGUUUAACCUAUAUUUACCUGACUGCCUACUGCCCUACUUUGUUUUGCUGUUAAAUGUUAAACAUUGGGUGAUAGGGGUCAAGUGUUAUACAUUCUGUGAAAGGAAUAAAUUGUUAACUUUGGAUGUCAUGUAGAUUAAUCAAAGUGUUGAACUUGCUGUCAUGAAAUGCAAAAAACCAAGGCCUACAAACAUCAAAGUUUUCUAGCAAAAAAAUGAUGUUGGCUUCAGUGGUAGCGUGAAAAACACAAUUAUAUAGGAUGAGCAUUUGGUACCAGGUACCAGUACCGAACCGGGAUAUUCGGUACCGGUAUCAAUUUUUUCCGUAUUUUGGUACCGGUACCGGUUUGGUACCGAACGGGUACCAUGCUCAUCCCUAAUUCUGUAUCUUCUGCUUUGUCUAUAUGAACCAAUAAGUGGCCAGGUAACCCUUCUUUCCUAAAAUGAUGGUGAAUUUCUAGUAGAGGUGACAAGUUAGGCAGGUUGACCCUCAAAUAUUCUUUGUCCUUCUUUUUGACCUUUUUAUUACUUAAAGGUAUUUUGUCAUUUCGUGUUUAUAAAUUGGCAGAUUGCAUUUGUAGAAUUAGUUCAGUUUCAAAAGUAUUUAUUCAUAAGUUUGAAGAAAGCCAUUGAGAUGCCAAUGUCCUCGCCUGCGCCUUGCGUCUUUGACAACAUAGCUCCUAAUCAAGAGUGUUACUAUCAUUACAAGGACUUUUGGAUGUUGGAUUUGAAAACAAAUCAAUGGGAACAAUAGAAUUAUAAAGGAUGUCCUAGUCGACGUUCUGGUCAUCCGAUGGUUUUGUAUAAGCACAAGCUUGUUAUUUUUGAUACUUCAAUUCUCUUUAAUUUGGAUACUUUUAAGUGGCAAGAGAUAAAACCGGCACCUGGAUGCUUAUAAUGGCCAAGUGCUCGGAGUGGAUUCCAACUCUUUGUUUACCAAGAAGAUAUAUAUAAAAGGAUUGUUCAUUCAGACAUACGAGCGCUUGACCCUAAGACUUGAGUUUGUAUCAAGUUAAAGAAAGGCGGGAUGCCACCUGGACCUCGUGCUGGUUUCUCAAUGAGUGUUCAUAGAAUCAGGCCGUGCUGGUUUCUCAAUGAGUGUUCAUAGAUUCAGGCCGUGCUCUUCAGGGGAGUUGUUGACGUGGAGGUUGAAGGCUUAGUCUUCUUUUGUAAAGAGCAGAGGAAUACUUGGCUAUAGAUAUGGUGAUAUUUGCGAAGAAUGAUCGAGUUAUGCGGCAAGUGUUAUUUUUUAAUGAUAACUGGUGUCGACAAAUGUAUUGAUAAACAAUAUUUUUGUAAACAUUAAAAUAUUUGUAGUAUAAUUGAUAAAUGAUUAUGCAAUGGGUUUUUGGU
RNAcentral lists this long non-coding RNA (1762 nucleotides) under Helianthus annuus (common sunflower). RNAcentral describes it as "hypothetical non coding rna". Lineage: Eukaryota; Viridiplantae; Streptophyta; Magnoliopsida; Asterales; Asteraceae. The record is from RNAcentral.